Molecule: long non-coding RNA, 936 nt
Organism: Ahaetulla prasina
Lineage: Eukaryota; Metazoa; Chordata; Lepidosauria; Squamata; Colubridae
Exons: 4
Source: RefSeq, a predicted model, not a curated record
GGGCGGGCAAGCGAGCGCGCGAGAAACCCCGGUCCGGCUGGCCCAUUGACGAGCGUCGCUCGCCAGGGUGAAGGGAGAGGUUUUUAAGGGACCGUCCGACUUUGCCUUUCGAAAGGGGGAGGCGGCUUUGCACUCCCAAGCUUCACCCGCGCUACUUCCACAACAAAAGCCGAGGGUUUCUUUCCUCGUCCGCCUUCAGGCAGACGCUGCGCAACAGGGCUUUUAGCAAAGGUGGCAUCUGACCUCGCCUGUCAUCCCCUGCAACGUCUCGUGGGAAAAGGAGCCCUUUUAACUCUUUCUUCCCACCCCUGUGCUGUUUGUUUUCCUUGGAAGGGAGGCUAGCGCGAUCUCCCGAGGGACACUCAGGAUUGGCCGGAGGAAAGCUGCCCAACCUUCAGAUUCAUCUUGUCCAAAGCCAAGACUCAGAAUUACUAAAAGAAGCUCCUGCUCUGUUUUUUAAAUCUUCACUAGCAGGCUCUUUGAAAAAAGAGUCCAAAAAUAUCUUGGGCUUACGAAGCACAAACUAUAAAGAUCUGUUUGAAACUAAAGGACACAUUUAUGAAGGAACAGAACCAGGGGAUGGCAAGGCCUUUACGGAACUAUCUUCUGAAUGAUGGAAGAUCCAGCAAGAUUCUGUCUUCAUCUCCAGGUGAGUGUGUGGUGCAAAGCCAGCCUUUCUCUCAGCUUAUGAAGAUGCAAUGCAGAAGAAGGAGCAAAGGUGAAAAGUUGAGAAAUCAUUGGAAAUCAACACUGUCCACUUCAGAAUUUAUGCAGAUGUAUAAAGUCCCCACCCAGACGAAGGGUGGGGGGGGGAACUCCAGCCAACGAUGACCAAUUGCCGGAUCCCUGUGACAGCGAGGAUGAAGGUGAAAACGAUCUAAUGGUGAAUGAACCAAUCCACCCCUUCAUCUUCCCAAUACGCCUCACAGAUCCAAG